AAUCACUUGUCUUUUAAAUGAAGACCUGUAUGAAAGGUAUGACGAGGGCUUAACUGUCUCCUCUUUCCAGCCAAUGAAAUUGAUCUCCCCGUGCAGAAGCGGGGAUACACACAUAAGACGAGAAGACCCUAUGGAGCUUUAGACAACAGGGCAGACCACGUUAAAAAUGCUUUAAAGCCACAAACAAGUGGGCACUGUUCAAAUGUCUUCGGUUGGGGCGACCCUGGGGAAAACAAAACCCCCACGUGGACUAGGAGCACAACCCUCGAUUUACUUAACCAUGCUCCCCGAAAUCAGAGACACCUCUCUAAUUAACAGAACUUCUGACCAGUCUGAUCCGGCUAACCGAUCAACGGACCAAGUUACCCUAGGGAUAACAGCGCAAUCCCCUUCAAGAGCCCUUAUCGCCAAGGGGGUUUACGACCUCGAUGUUGGAUCAGGACAUCCCAAUGGUGCAACCGCUAUUAAAGGUUCGUUUGUUCAACGAUUAA
This 491-nucleotide ribosomal RNA is filed under the name Cyclopsetta querna (toothed flounder). Its description in RNAcentral is "partial 16S ribosomal RNA". It matches the Rfam family "Bacterial large subunit ribosomal RNA", at positions 1963 to 2591 of the family's 2925-position model. The record is from RNAcentral. Lineage: Eukaryota; Metazoa; Chordata; Actinopteri; Pleuronectiformes; Cyclopsettidae.